This 443-nucleotide ribosomal RNA is filed under the name uncultured bacterium. Its description in RNAcentral is "partial 16S ribosomal RNA". It matches the Rfam family "Bacterial small subunit ribosomal RNA", at positions 338 to 795 of the family's 1533-position model. The record is from RNAcentral.
CCUACGGGAGACUGCAGUGGGGAAUAUUGGACAAUGGGGGGAACCCUGAUCCAGCGACGCCGCGUGCGUGAAGAAGUAUUUCGGUAUGUAAAGCUCUAUCAGCAGGGAAGAAAGAAAUGACGGUACCUGACUAAGAAGCCCCGGCUAACUACGUGCCAGCAGCCGCGGUAAUACGUAGGGGGCAAGCGUUAUCCGGAUUUACUGGGUGUAAAGGGAGCGUAGACGGCGAUGCAAGUCUGAAGUGAAAGGCGGGGGCCCAACCCCUGGACUGCUUUGGAAACUGUAUGGCUGGAGUGCAGGGGAGGUAAGUGGAAUUCCUAGUGUAGCGGUGAAAUGCGUAGAUAUUAGGAGGAACACCAGUGGCGAAGGCGGCUUACUGGACUGUAACUGACGUUGAGGCUCGAAAGCGUGGGGAGCAAACAGGAUUAGAUACCCGAGUAGUC